AACCCAUGAUGAGGGCAUGAGAGAAGAAGGUCUUUAAAUUUCUUUCAACAUUCAUAAAAAGUUUCAUUGUCUUUUUAUUGAAAAUUGCUGAUAUGUCUUUUCAGAAAGU
This is a small nucleolar RNA of Phoenix dactylifera (date palm), 109 nucleotides long. NCBI's taxonomy places the organism in Eukaryota, Viridiplantae, Streptophyta, Magnoliopsida, Arecales, Arecaceae. The record is from RefSeq and is a predicted model, not a curated record.